This 496-nucleotide ribosomal RNA is filed under the name uncultured bacterium. RNAcentral describes it as "partial 16S ribosomal RNA". It matches the Rfam family "Bacterial small subunit ribosomal RNA", at positions 29 to 507 of the family's 1533-position model. The record is from RNAcentral.
AUGAACGCUGGCGGCGUGCCUAAUACAUACAAGUCGAGCGAACGGACGAGAAGCUUGCUUCUCUGAUGUUAGCGGCGGACGGGUGAGUAACACGUGGAUAACCUACCUAUAAGACUGGGAUAACUUCGGGAAACCGGAGCUAAUACCGGAUGAUAUUUUGAACCGCAUGGUUCAAAAGUGAAAGACGGUCUUGCUGUCACUUAUAGAUGGAUCCGCGCUGCAUUAGCUAGUUGGUAAGGUAACGGCUUACCAAGGCAACGAUGCAUAGCCGACCUGAGAGGGUGAUCGGCCACACUGGAACUGAGACACGGUCCAGACUCCUACGGGAGGCAGCAGUAGGGAAUCUUCCGCAAUGGGCGAAAGCUUGACGGAGCAACGCCGCGUGAGUGAUGAAGGUCUUCGGAUCGUAAAACUCUGUUAUUAGGGAAGAACAUAUGUGUAAGUAACUGUGCACAUCUUGACGGUACCUAAUCAGAAAGCCACGGCUAACUACGUG